ACUCAAAGGAAUAGACGGGGGCCCGCACAAGCGGCGGAGCAUGCGGAUUAAUUCGAUGCAACGCGAAGAACCUUACCUGGGCUUGACAUGUUUCUGACGACGCUAGAGAUAGCGUUUCCCUUCGGGGCAGAUUCACAGGUGGUGCAUGGUUGUCGUCAGCUCGUGUUGUGAAAUGUUGGGUUAAGUCCCGCAACGAGCGCAACCCUCGUCUCGUGUUGCCAGCGGUUCGGCCGGGAACUCACGAGAGACCGCCGGGGUUAACCCGGAGGAAGGCGGGGAUGACGUCAAAUCAUCAUGCCCCUUACGUCCAGGGCUUCACGCAUGCUACAAUGGCCGGUACAGAAAGAUGCAAUAUCGUGAGAUGGAGCGGAUCUUUUAAAACUGGUCUCAGUUCGGAUCGGAGCCUGCAACUCGGCUCCGUGAAGGUGGAGUCGCUAGUAAUCGCUGAUCAGCAACGCAGCGGUGAAUGCGUUCCCGGGCCUUGCACACACCGCCCGU
RNAcentral lists this ribosomal RNA (498 nucleotides) under uncultured bacterium. RNAcentral's name for it is "bacterial SSU rRNA". It matches the Rfam family "Bacterial small subunit ribosomal RNA", at positions 899 to 1397 of the family's 1533-position model. The record is from RNAcentral.